UAACACGUAGGGGGCAAGCGUUGUCCGGAUUUAUUGGGCGUAAAGAGCUCGUAGGCGGCUCGGUAAGUCGGGUGUGAAAACUCGGGGCUCAACCCCGAGACGCCACUCGAUACUGCCAUGGCUUGAGUCCGGUAGGGGAGCAGGGAAUUCCUGGUGUAGCGGUGAAAUGCGCAGAUAUCAGGAGGAACACCGGUGGCGAAGGCGCUGCUCUGGGCCGGUACUGACGCUGAGGAGCGAAAGCGUGGGUAGCAAACAGGAUUAGAUACCCUGGUAGUCCACGCCGUAAACGUUGGGCACUAGGUGUGGGACCUCAUCAACGGGUUCCGUGCCGUAGCUAACGCAUUAAGUGCCCCGCCUGGGGAGUACGGCCGCAAGGCUA
This 379-nucleotide ribosomal RNA is filed under the name uncultured bacterium. Its description in RNAcentral is "bacterial SSU rRNA". It matches the Rfam family "Bacterial small subunit ribosomal RNA", at positions 521 to 896 of the family's 1533-position model. The record is from RNAcentral.